Molecule: ribosomal RNA, 128 nt
Filed under: Saimiri boliviensis boliviensis (Bolivian squirrel monkey)
Lineage: Eukaryota; Metazoa; Chordata; Mammalia; Primates; Cebidae
Source: RNAcentral
GUCAUACCAUCCUGAAGGUGCUGGAUCUCAUCUGAUCUCAGAAGCUAAGCAGGGUCGGGCCUGGUUAGUACUUGAAUGGGAGACACAUGUUUAUCACAAUACAAUUCACAAUAGCAAAGACAGGGAAU